Pimephales promelas (fathead minnow) is the source of this 233-nucleotide non-coding RNA. The record is from RefSeq and is a predicted model, not a curated record. Lineage: Eukaryota; Metazoa; Chordata; Actinopteri; Cypriniformes; Leuciscidae.
GCAUCCUAUCAGGGGAUAGUAUCAUCUAUUUAAUGCGGGUUGGCUGUGUCCGGAGAUGCGUCGCGUCUUUACUCCGCCUCCCCGCGUGCGUCAUUCACUCGCGUCUCAGUUGUCAAUCAGCACUUUUCCGGCGGUGCACGUUAUGAGUUCAGAGUGAGUGUCUGUUCACCCCUCAGUUAAUCAGCGGUCUUGAUGAUUGCUGUAAACAGUAGCCAGAGGGAAUUGUAUGCGAG